GGACCCGCACAAGUAGUGGAGCAUGUGGUUUAAUUCGAAGAUACGCGCAGAACCUUACCAACACUUGACAUGUUCGUCGCGACUUUAAGAGAUUAAAGUCUUCGGUUCGGCCGGACAAAACACAGGUGCUGCAUGGCUGUCGUCAGCUCGUGUCGUGAGAUGUUGGUUAAGUCCCGCAACGAGCGCAACCCUCACUUUUAGUUGCCAUCAUUUAGUUGGGCACUCUGAAAGAACUGCCAGUGAUAAGCUGGAGGAAGGUGGGGAUGACGUCAAGUCCUCAUGGCCCUUACGUGUUGGGCUACACACGUGCUACAAUGGCAGUGACAAUGGGUUAAUCCCCAAAAGCUGUCUCA
RNAcentral lists this ribosomal RNA (353 nucleotides) under uncultured bacterium. RNAcentral describes it as "bacterial SSU rRNA". It matches the Rfam family "Bacterial small subunit ribosomal RNA", at positions 917 to 1290 of the family's 1533-position model. The record is from RNAcentral.